Molecule: long non-coding RNA, 456 nt
Organism: Cornus florida
Lineage: Eukaryota; Viridiplantae; Streptophyta; Magnoliopsida; Cornales; Cornaceae
Exons: 3
Source: RefSeq, a predicted model, not a curated record
CAAGAAAUCGAUAACUUAGGACUCUUAAUGGAGAAUAAGGGAAGGGAAAGGACAAAUACUCACUGCGUGAUAGAAAUCAGGCUUUAGGCAAGACUUUCUCGAUCCUCUUCUAACUCUCAAGCAGUACUCCUACUUGGUUCUGUAACUUCGUUUCCUAAUAAGAUUGAGUCGGAUCGAAGAUGAAGAUUAGAUCUGGUCGGUUGGGAUCCGUCUUUGUUGAUCGAAGCUGAAAUCGGAGUUUCUCCUCCUGUCAUCUGGUCAUACGGAACGAAAAACAGUGAGGCUCACCUUAAUGUAUGGGUGCCGAAGGCUUCCUUUCUGUGUUGAUGCGACCUACUAUUAUCGAUAUCAACUAUCGCUCCACACCGACCGAGAAGUUGGCCAUAGGAGCAAACCCUAACCCCUAAAGAAGAAACCCUAAGUCUGGAAUCCUCCAUUAGAGACUCGAAGGUGUGU